Molecule: ribosomal RNA, 300 nt
Filed under: uncultured Pyrobaculum sp.
Lineage: Archaea; Thermoproteati; Thermoproteota; Thermoprotei; Thermoproteales; Thermoproteaceae
Description: bacterial SSU rRNA
Rfam family: Bacterial small subunit ribosomal RNA (bases 60-300)
Source: RNAcentral
GAAAAAGAGGGGGGAGGGGCGGGGGUAAAACGAGGGAGGGAAGUGUUAGCCGUGGUAGGUGGGGGGAAAGCGCACGCAGGCGGCUGCGUAAGUCGGACGGGAAAGCUCCUGGCUCAACUGGGAGAGGUCGUUCGAAACUGGGCGGCUUGAGGGUGGAAGAGGAGAGCGGAAUUCCCGGUGGAGUGGUGGAAUGCGUAGAUAUCGGGAGGAACACCAGUGGCGAAAGCGGCUCUCUGGUCCACACCUGACGCUCAGGUGCGAAAGCGUGGGUAGCGAACGGGAUUAGAUACCCUGGUAGUC